GACGUCUUAACUCAACCGAUAGAGCGCGUGGCUUUUAACCACGUGGUCGUGAGUUCGAUUCCCACAGACAACG
RNAcentral lists this transfer RNA (73 nucleotides) under Vitis vinifera (wine grape). It matches the Rfam family "tRNA". From Rfam's summary of the family: Transfer RNA (tRNA) molecules are approximately 80 nucleotides in length. Their secondary structure includes four short double-helical elements and three loops (D, anti-codon, and T loops). Lineage: Eukaryota; Viridiplantae; Streptophyta; Magnoliopsida; Vitales; Vitaceae. The record is from Rfam by way of RNAcentral.